RNAcentral lists this unclassified non-coding RNA (376 nucleotides) under uncultured fungus. RNAcentral's name for it is "sequence contains ITS1". The stretch from base 1 to 102 matches the Rfam family "5.8S ribosomal RNA", at positions 50 to 154 of the family's 154-position model. Lineage: Eukaryota; Fungi. The record is from RNAcentral.
UAAUUGCGAUAUCUAAUAUGAAUUGCAGAACCCUGUGAAUCAUCGAGAUUUCGAACGCAUAGCGCCCAGAGCUUCGCUUUGGGCACAUCUGGUUGAGUGACAGUUAACUUCAUCGCUUCACCACAAAAAUUGCAUUUGAUGCGACUAUGUGGAUUGUGAGGCGGCUUGUUGCGGAUGUGUGUAGGCAGCGCGUUCCGGUUGAUGCGCCGCCAAACACACUACCGUCAAACUUCCCGGGCAGUUAAGUAUAGUGACUUGGGUACGUGUAUCAGCAUUUCUGCCGUUCUCAGCACCUGGUCAACUUGCGCACGAUUGCUCAAAAGCUUAACCACACCAUUUUGUCCUCAGCUCAGGUGGGAUUACCCGCUGAACUUAA